CCCAUGUGGUAAUCAUCAAGCCAGUGUAACUUUGCCAGUUUGACCUGAUCCUGAGCUAACCUCCUUUGUUUUUGUCUGAUUCUUGCUAGUACCUGUGAGGUCCUCUUUACCUGGACUUCCAGUAUCUCUCUCUAGAGUUUGUGAACUUUGGAUUAUCACCACUAGACUGUGGUUUGGAUCCUAAAUCUCCCAAACUCCUUCCUCUGUGUGGGCUCUGUUCUGUUCUGGACUGCUCUUAUUGGACUGCCCUUCUAGAUUACCUGACUCCCAAGCCCAAUGGUAAAGAACCUCCCGGUGUUUAUUACCUGUGACCCAAAGAACCCGAGAAGUCUGAAGUACCUCCCUGAGCAUUUCCUACCGGUUUUCUGGUGUGACUUGAAACAUUGACUGUAAAUAAACCGUUGAACCUUUA
Long non-coding RNA from Girardinichthys multiradiatus, 412 nucleotides. RefSeq lists it as uncharacterized. The record is from RefSeq and is a predicted model, not a curated record. The transcript has 2 exons. Lineage: Eukaryota; Metazoa; Chordata; Actinopteri; Cyprinodontiformes; Goodeidae.